GUAGGUGGCAAGCGUUGUCCGGAUUUACUGGGCGUAAAGGAUGCGUAGGCGGAUUUUUAAGUGAGAUGUGAAAUGCCCGGGCUUAACUUGGGUGCUGCAUUUCAAACUGGGAAUCUAGAGUGCGGGAGAGGAGAAUGGAAUUCCUAGUGUAGCGGUGAAAUGCGUAGAGAUUAGGAAGAACACCAGUGGCGAAGGCGAUUCUCUGGACCGUAACUGACGCUGAGGCAUGAAAGCGUGGGUAGCAAACAGGAUUAGAUACCCUGGUAGUCCACGCCGUAAACGAUGAGUACUAGGUGUAGGAGGUAUCGACUCCCUUCUGUGCCGCAGUUAACACAAUAAGUACUCCGCCUGGAAGUACGAUCGCAAGAUUA
RNAcentral lists this ribosomal RNA (371 nucleotides) under uncultured organism. RNAcentral's name for it is "partial 16S ribosomal RNA". It matches the Rfam family "Bacterial small subunit ribosomal RNA", at positions 527 to 896 of the family's 1533-position model. The record is from RNAcentral.